This 2442-nucleotide long non-coding RNA is filed under the name Helianthus annuus (common sunflower). RNAcentral's name for it is "hypothetical non coding rna". Lineage: Eukaryota; Viridiplantae; Streptophyta; Magnoliopsida; Asterales; Asteraceae. The record is from RNAcentral.
GUGUGUGGGGUUCUGGACGAUCGACAGGGAGGAGCAAGGAGGGGUGAAACCCUAACUUCACAAAAUCCACAAGAAUUACUAAUAAUCUUAAGGAAAUUGAAAGAAUAAUCAUCAAAUUCUAAGCUCCUACACCUGUUCUUUAAAGUGGUAAGUUCAAUUUUGUGAUUUUCUAAAUUGUAUGAAGUGGGUCUUGACCUAAGCAUGAAUGCAUGGCAUAGGAUUCGUGAAAUUUGGUUAGGAUUAAGGAUUAGGAUAAGAAUUAUAGCAGAAAUUAUGUUUGAAUUGGGAUGGUUGUUGUGAUUUUAGCAAAAACCCGCUUGUUAAGAAGCUAGUAAUUGUAGGAUGAUGGAAUGAGAUCAUAUAACUAGAACUUUGAUUAUGAGCUUGAUGUGAUACAUGAAUGAUGAAUAAAAUUUAUGUAGGAUGGAGUAAUUAUGUAAAUCCGAAUGAAUAUGAAUGUUGUAUGAUGAUAAACUAAUAAGAAUGUGCCUUAUAGUCUUGUACCGAAUACCAUGAUUAUGAUGCUUACAAGGUGUUUGAUGAAAUGCCUAAGAGAACAAAUUUGUGAAAUUGUAUGAAAGUUGUGGGUAGGUAUGUAUAGAAAGUGUUUAUGGUGUAGUCGUUAACAAGAUAAUAUGUGAAGUGUGCUUUAGAUGGAGUCCAUACGAAAAUUCGGAUUUGAAUGAAUGAUUUGGUAAAAUCAUGCAUUAGGGACUUGUACCUUGUGUUUAAAUGGUGUGAUACUCACCAUGUAUUUAAUGCGCUUGAUUUAUAGUACUCAAAAGUGAAUGUGUACGAAUAGUUUAUUAAUAAGUAAUGAUGUCGGAGUUAUGUUGUGUACGUAUCUAUGAUAAUAAGUUUGAAGUAAAUGUUGAACAACGUGGUUGUCGGUUCAUGUUUUAUGCGUGAUAAAGUUUGACUAUUAAAAGUUUAUGUAGCUAAGGGUUGAAAAUGGAUGUGAUAUGAAUGAUCAUGCAUGCUAACUAUGAAAUGCGUAUAAUGAUUUGAAAGGAUAGGAAACCAAAAUUGACAUGGACUCAAGUAUGGAAGGCUAUCGGAUUAAGAGGAAAUGAGGAAGUUAUGCACAAACUUGGACGCACAAGGUAAGUGAUUUCCAUAAUCACUUCUUAGUUUGUUUAAGUAGUAUAAUGUUUAAUUAUUAAGUUCAUAUGAAGUUGAGGUCAAAUCAAUAUAUUAUUUUGAUGAAUGCAUGAACGGGUCGAAAAGUUAGUAGAUGAAUAAUAAGCCGAACAUGUACAAGUUAAGAAAUUCCUUAACUCGGAUGUUGGAUUUCAAGUUCACAUGAUAGAAUGUUAAUUUACAAUCAUGUAGGAAGAAACGUGACGCAAAACGGAUGAAAAAUGAGAGAGUUAUGUCCGUUUCGGUAAGAAUUAAUGGCUAGGAAAAAUGCAGAGCUGACACGACCGGGUGGUGAGCUGACACGGCCGGGUGAAGGUUCUGUGAAAAAUAUUAUUUAGGUGAUUUAUGCAUCGUAGGCUUCGGUAUAUUAUCCAUGGACUACGGUGGACCUCCCAAACAUGAUUUCGAGUGUUCCCUUGACGAUUAUAAGUUGUACACCCAAGUCUAAGCCUCAUGUAAUUUAUAUAAGAGUAUGAUAGAUGUAUGUAAUGAUGACUAGGGAGGUGUGUUAAUUAAGUUAAGAGAAUAGGAUGGUAUGUAGGUAUGAACAAUUAGAGUCAUGGUGAGUUUAAGUCGUAUAAACUAGUACGCGUGAUGUGUAUAGAAGAUAUAUAUACGUAUGUACAUAAUUAUGCGAAAGGCGUACAUUGUGUUGUAGUUAAAUAGAUGCAUAUAAAUGGUUGGUGACCUUUUUACGAAGAUGUAGUACUUGAAUAUGUUGAGAUUACGGGUUUACGAAUGUCGGACUUUCGAAGUGUUGAUAUAGUAAUGAAAUGAUUGAAUGUUGGAAGGAUAAUCGGGUUGAGGUAACUUAAGUGGUUAGAAUAUGCUAUGGACGUUUUAGUUUAUACAAUAUUAUAUGUUUGGUCGUCACCAUCUACUAACAGGUUAGUUGUAUGAGAGUAUAUGUCAUACCCAUUUUAUUGGGUAAUUGAAUGCGUAAGAGAAAUGAAAGUACGUACAUGAAUGGAACUGAAAUGACGGUUUUAUAAGCAAAUAAGUAUAACGAAUAACUUUUUAAAGCUUUGUUGUUGAAUGUAGGUGAAUCCUCAAUUUUGGCGACUUGGAGAAUCGGAGCGAGCGCGAGUUCAUAUUAUGCCAUACCAAACGCUUCCGCUAGCUUGUUCAAAUGUUUUUUUCCCAAAAUUUGUUGUAUUGGUUUUUAGUAGUAUCUUGUUGAACGAAUUGUAGAAUUGUAUUUAGUUUGUUUAUGUUUAAAACAGGGGUAUGCUCGCUUUAUGGACGGGUCAUGCCCAAAUUUUGUUAAAAUCAUGUGUUAAUGUUACUAGCGUUUUUACCUUU